UACGUAGGUGGUAAGCGUCAUCCGGAAUUACUGGGUGUAAAGGGGGCGCAGGCGGGUCAGCAAGUUGGAUGUGAAAUACCGCAGCUUAACUGCGGAGCUGCAUCCAAAACUGUUGAUCUUGAGUGGAGUAGAGGUAGGCGGAAUUCCGAGUGUAGCGGUGAAAUGCGUAGAUAUUCGGAGGAACACCGGUGGCGAAGGCGGCCUACUGGGCUUUUACUGACGCUGAGGCCCGAAAGUGUGGGGAGCAAAC
Molecule: ribosomal RNA, 250 nt
Filed under: uncultured prokaryote
Description: partial 16S ribosomal RNA
Rfam family: Bacterial small subunit ribosomal RNA
Source: RNAcentral